CGGUAGAAGGGAUGCUGGAGAGCUUAGGUAAGGUUCUCUUUUGUUGCUGUUGGUUAGCACACUUGAUGCUAGAUCCAAACUGCUAUUCCUCCUGUUUCCUCUACCUAUUUUGGUUUGUAAGAAAAAAAAAAAAAAAAGAAAAAAGAAAAAAAGAAGAGGAGCUGCAAACAUCAUGAAAAUACCCAAAUUUGUGAGGUAAAUUUCUCAAUUCCUAUCAUCUCUAUGACUUGAAAUUCUAUAAGGAAUGCCAAAGAGGCAAGCAGAAUUUACUGUGAUUGUUUGUCACAAGUUUAUAGAGUUAGAGAAUUCUGGGCAAAUCGUGAUAAUCUACAAGCGCAUGCAUGCGUGCAACCAAACACAUUCAAGGAAG
Molecule: unclassified non-coding RNA, 370 nt
Filed under: Hevea brasiliensis (rubber tree)
Lineage: Eukaryota; Viridiplantae; Streptophyta; Magnoliopsida; Malpighiales; Euphorbiaceae
Source: RNAcentral